This 485-nucleotide ribosomal RNA is filed under the name uncultured bacterium. RNAcentral describes it as "partial 16S ribosomal RNA". It matches the Rfam family "Bacterial small subunit ribosomal RNA", at positions 28 to 523 of the family's 1533-position model. The record is from RNAcentral.
GACGAACGCUGGCGGCGUGCUUAACACAUGCAAGUCGAACGGCGAAAGCGGAGCUUGCUCCGCUGGAUCAGUGGCGAACGGGUGAGUAACACGUGGGCAACCUGCCCCUCACUUCGGGAUAACUCCGGGAAACCGGGGCUAAUACCGGAUAUGACCUCCUUGGGCAUCCAUGGAGGUGGAAAGGUUUUCGGUGAGGGAUGGGCCCGCGGCCUAUCAGCUUGUUGGUGAGGUAGUGGCUCACCAAGGCGACGACGGGUAGCCGGCCUGAGAGGGCGACCGGCCACACUGGGACUGAGACACGGCCCAGACUCCUACGGGAGGCAGCAGUGGGGAAUAUUGCGCAAUGGGCGAAAGCCUGACGCAGCAACGCCGCGUGCGGGAUGACGGCCUUCGGGUUGUAAACCGCUUUCAGCAGGGAAGAAGCCGCAAGGUGACGGUACCUGCAGAAGAAGCACCGGCUAACUACGUGCCAGCCGCCGCCGUAA